UGCAAGUCGAACGGUGAAGCCAAGCUUGCUUGGUGGAUCAGUGGCGAACGGGUGAGUAACACGUGAGCAACCUGCCCUGGACUCUGGGAUAAGCGCUGGAAACGGCGUCUAAUACUGGAUAUGAGCUCUCAUCGCAUGGUGGGGGUUGGAAAGAUUUUUUGGUCUGGGAUGGGCUCGCGGCCUAUCAGCUUGUUGGUGAGGUAAUGGCUCACCAAGGCGUCGACGGGUAGCCGGCCUGAGAGGGUGACCGGCCACACUGGGACUGAGACACGGCCCAGACUCCUACGGGAGGCAGCAGUGGGGAAUAUUGCACAAUGGGCGGAAGCCUGAUGCAGCAACGCCGCGUGAGGGAUGACGGCCUUCGGGUUGUAAACCUCUUUUAGCAAGGAAGAAGCUUUUGUGACGGUACUUGCAGAAAAAGCGCCGGCUAACUACGUGCCAGCAGCCGCGGUAAUACGUAGGGCGCAAGCGUUAUCCGGAAUUAUUGGGCGUAAAGAGCUCGUAGGCGGUUUGUCGCGUCUGCUGUGAAAUCCCGAGGCUCAACCUCGGGCCUGCAGUGGGUACGGGCAGACUAGAGUGCGGUAGGGGAGAUUGGAAUUCCUGGUGUAGCGGUGGAAUGCGCAGAUAUCAGGAGGAACACCGAUGGCGAAGGCAGAUCUCUGGGCCGUAACUGACGCUGAGGAGCGAAAGGGUGGGGAGCAAACAGGCUUAGAUACCCUGGUAGUCCACCCCGUAAACGUUGGGAACUAGUUGUGGGGUCCUUUCCACGGAUUCCGUGACGCAGCUAACGCAUUAAGUUCCCCGCCUGGGGAGUACGGCCGCAAGGCUAAAACUCAAAGGAAUUGACGGGGACCCGCACAAGCGGCGGAGCAUGCGGAUUAAUUCGAUGCAACGCG
Molecule: ribosomal RNA, 896 nt
Filed under: Microbacterium takaoensis
Lineage: Bacteria; Bacillati; Actinomycetota; Actinomycetes; Micrococcales; Microbacteriaceae
Description: bacterial SSU rRNA
Rfam family: Bacterial small subunit ribosomal RNA
Source: RNAcentral